This 619-nucleotide ribosomal RNA is filed under the name uncultured archaeon. Its description in RNAcentral is "bacterial SSU rRNA". It matches the Rfam family "Archaeal small subunit ribosomal RNA", at positions 52 to 670 of the family's 1478-position model. The record is from RNAcentral.
UGCGAGUCAUAUGUUCUUCGUGAACAUGGCGUACUGCUCAGUAACACGUGGAUAACCUGCCCUUGGGACCGGGAUAACCCCGGGAAACUGGGGAUAAUACCGGAUAACGCAUAUCUGCUGGAAUGCUUUAUGCGUAAAAUGGAUUUGUCUGCCCAAGGAUGGGUCUGCGGCCUAUCAGGUAGUAGUGGGUGUAAUGUACCUACUAGCCUACGACGGGUACGGGUUGUGAGAGCAAGAGCCCGGAGAUGGAUUCUGAGACAUGAAUCCAGGCCCUACGGGGCGCAGCAGGCGCGAAAACUUUACAAUGCGGGAAACCGUGAUAAGGGGACACCGAGUGCCAGCAUCAUAUGUUGGCUGUCCAGAUGUGUAAAAUACAUCUGUUAGCAAGGGCCGGGCAAGACCGGUGCCAGCCGCCGCGGUAACACCGGCGGCCCGAGUGGUGAUCGUGAUUAUUGGGCCUAAAGGGUCCGUAGCCGGUUUGGUCAGUCCUCCGGGAAAUCUGACGGCUCAACCGUUAGGCUUUCGGUGGAUACUGCCAGACUUGGAACCGGGAGAGGUAAGAGGUACUACAGGGGUAGGAGUGAAAUCUUGUAAUCCCUGUGAGACCACCUGUGGCGAA